This 7623-nucleotide long non-coding RNA is filed under the name Lotus japonicus. RNAcentral describes it as "long non-coding RNA (LJAP_LNC001807)". Lineage: Eukaryota; Viridiplantae; Streptophyta; Magnoliopsida; Fabales; Fabaceae. The record is from RNAcentral.
UAGGAGAACUAAAGGGGAAAACAUUUACGAAAGACGGGGAAAAGUCGACCUUUGUUGCGGGUUUGGAGAGUUAUCGGAAUUGGGGAAAGCCACUAAGGUGAGCUAUGGUGAUGAUUGAAAGUCACCGAGUACUUUACGUACUCUUGUUGAUGGGGUUGUGUUGUAUUGACCGACACUAAUCCCUUGGGUUCUCUUGUUGUUGGAGCGGUGUUGUAUUGACCGACACUUAGCGCUCUUGUUGUUUGGGCGGUGUUGUAUUGACCGACACUAGACCCUUGUGUAUUCUGUGGAUGGAGUUGUGUUGUAUUGACCGACACUAACUCAUGGGUUUGUUGAGAUUGGGUUGUGAGCUACACACUUUCGUGGUAAGGGCGAUUCGUUGUUUGGCUAACCAUAUUGCAUCAAUCAGGUGAAUAACGGGAAUGGUUCACCUUGCAUAAAUGAUGAAUAACGGGAAUGGUUCAUCAUAUGGUGAAUAACGGGAAUGGUUCACCAAGGAUGAAUAACGGGAAUGGUUCAUCCAGGAUGGAUAACGGGAAUGGUCCAUCCAUAGUGAAGAACGGGAAGCUUCACUGAGGCGUGAGACUUCGUGAAAGCAUGGAACUUCACUGAAGCGUGAGACUUCGUGAAAGUGAGUAAGCUUCACUGAGGCGUGAGACUUCGUGAAAGCAGAAACUUCACUGAGGCGGGAGACCUCGUGGAGACGGGAACCUUCGCUGAGGCGGGAGACCUUGCGGAGACGGGAACCUUCGCUGAAGCGGGAGACUUUGCGGAGGCGUGCAACUUCACUGAAGCGUGAGACUUCGUGAAGGCGCGAAACUUCACUGAAGCGUGAGACUUCGUGAAUGUGUGAGAUUUCACUGAAGCGUGAGACUUCGUGAAAGCGUAAGACCCCAUUGAAGCGUGAGACUUCAUGGAAGCGUGAGAUUUCAUCGUCGUUUACCCUAGGGCAACGACAGGGAACAUUGGUUUAGUUGGAUACGUGUGUGUUGGGAGGACGAUACAUUGUUUGACUAACCUUAUCACCUAACUUCAUAUGUUGAGAUUAUGAUGAUUUGAUGUUGAUGAACAUCGUUAGGUAUUAAUGAUUGAACUGUGUAGGAGAUUCGAGAACAUGUUAUGUAUAUACCUUAGAGUAGGCAAUACAUAACUUAUAUGUAUAUAUACAACAUAUAUAUAUAUACCCCUUUUAUCGCAUGUUGAUUGUAUAUCUAUUGUAUUCUGUAAGUUGACCCUAGCGCCUUGGCUUUGUUUGUAUGUUUGUGUUUGGGCGGUCGGCCUGCUGCCAGGCGUCUGUCAGCCGGUUCGUGAUGAUUCGUGGCGCGGGAAAGACCCGGAGCGGAAUGACUAUUACUAGAGCUUUCGACGAGGACCCGGACUUCAUGCCUGAUCGAGGGAGGGUCGCUGAUAGUAGUGUGGGUUAUGGGAGGUUAGAGUCUUUUGAGUUGGUUGUUACUGUAAUAGCUCUGAUUCGUUUUGCUUUUGGGACAGGGUAGGUUCCCGACGCAUGACUUUUGUGUGGUUCUCUUACUGAGGGAUCACAGUGAGUCAGUCGGACCAUAGGGGUCUUUGCUUAGGCCAUUUUGAGGCCGACUUUCUCUUGGAUAGUGGUAUAUUUGAUGUUUUUGCGUACAGUUCUGGUUUGAAAAUAUUCGCCUACGGGCAUGCUACCUUGGAGUCACUGCGUGUGCGCGUGACGGGAGAGUGCAGCUGAGGCUGUACAUUUGUAUAUGUUUGUUUAUCGGUUAGUUAGUUGUUGGGUUAUGUCUUUACUUUCUAUUGUUUUGAUUUAAAGGAAAGAAAACGAAAAAAAAUUACCUGUUUUCCGCGUAAAGAUUAUUUUUGGUUACUAAAGUGACACGUGGAAAUCGGGGUGUUACAUUGUGGUAUCAGAGCUUAGUCGAGUCUUUUGGGAGUCUUUGGGGAAUAGGUCUUCUGUGCUAGGUUGUGUGACUCUGCAAAGAGUGAAAAUUGAUUGUCUGCAGAGCGAUUUUCGUUCUAAUUGCUUGCGUUACUACUCAAUCGGAUUGAGUGGUUUGUCUAGUGCUACCGUAUGGUUAGUACUAAUCGGACGUUCGAUGAGAUAUAGGAUGGUGGACCUUAACCGGAUGGCGGGGGCAAUAGCUACACUGAUCGAGGCAAUGAUGAACCAGGCUGCGGAAGACGCUUAUAUGCGCGCUGCACGUGAGCAUCACCAACGAUUGAUGGCGACGGCGAUGUAUCAACAAAGAGGAAUGAACCGAACAGGAGCUGGGGGACCAAUGAGGUCAGGUUCCCAAGGCUACAACGGAAGGAAGAGCUACCAUAAGUGGGGACCAUAUCAGCGUUUCAAGGGAAGAGAUCUUAUCUCAAGAGUCUACAAACCAACGACUGCUGAUACUGGAGGGGAGCCAGUUGGUGACAAAGGUGUGACAUGUACUCGUUGUGGAAAGUUUGGGCAUUUUGCUAACAAGUGCUCAGUGACUGGAUGGAGAUGCUUCAAGUGUAACCGAGAGGGGCAUCUAGCUGUGAACUGCAAGACCAAAGAAAGUCUAUGCUUCAAUUGCAACCAACCGGGACAUUUCUCCCAAGAUUGCAAGGCACUCAGGGGCGAAUCAUCAGGGAAUGUUGGGAAAGGAAAACAACUUGCUCCAGAGGAAAGGAUUCAUGCCAAGGAGGGCAAGAGCUGAGGAGUUGAACGAGGAAGAACGUGGGAAUGAUGUAGGACCUUAUUCGAGGUUGCUCGUGAUUUGACUAUAGAAGUUACACGGGGUUGGGAAUAGCACACUAAGUCUAGAAAGUAGUCUUCCACCGAUGCGUUUAUGAGGAAGCUAGUAGCUGAAGAACGAAUCUUAGGGAGAUUCCGUAUGGGUAGUAUACGUGUCAUGUUGAGGGUGUGUAGUUCCGUAGCGGGAUCAUUAAAGGAUUUAGUAUCAGGAUAUUUGUGACUACUGGAGGAUAGGAACUCAUUGACUGUUCCAGUGGGUUUUUCUAAAUCUCCACCUUCGAUGUAUUAGGCCUGAUCAACCUAAUAUUGAGGGGGUGAUAUUCGGAAUCACAGCUGGUUAUGGACUUUGAUAGAAGGAUGUGUAAGAUGAAUUUGAAUUGAUUGAGGAUUAGUCGGAUUUGGGAGGAAAGUUCGUGUUAAGCACUUGAUUGUGAAAGAUUAAGAUUUAAAUCUUUGGAAUUCGAUGAGUGUCGUAUAGACAUUGAUUGGUUAGUUCGUGUGAUUACUCCAAGUAGAGGUAGACCAAGUCAAGAGAUUUAGUGCUGGAAAAGUAUUAAGUAGUUUCUCGGAAGUUAUGAAGUCAUAGGUUAUGUGAUUGCUGAGGGGAGUUGUUAGAGACUAAAUAAGUUGGAUUUAAUCAUGUUUUAGAUGAUACCUUGAUGGUAGCGAGAUUGAGAAGAAUUAGCUCUGAACUAGAUUGUUAUAGUCGAGUUCGAGGAAUAAGUUUUGCUAAGCGUUUGAUUAAUAUGUGGAGACAUUAUAGUCUUAAGAGAUGAAUUUUCAUUUGAAAAGUGUUGAAUUAAUGAUUAAGUUGGAGAAAGAAAGUUUUAGCAUAAGUUGAAUACUUGAGGUUGUUGAUAUGGAUUCCAAAGAAAUAUGCUAAGAUUACUAAGUGAGAUUUACUAAGUUGGAUUGAAAUCUUAGGGUUAAGAUUGAAUCUUGAGAGUCGAGAAUCGCGUACGAAUAGGAGAUCUUAUGGUUGUAGGUGUGACAAUAGGAGUUGAAUCUUAGAAGAUUGAGGACCUGAAGGUGAGCUUCGGGUUAAGACCAUUGAGGUAUAAUAUAAGAGAGAUCUUGAAGUAAAGGAAUUCUGGGUUGUGUGGAGUGUUAAGGUUGGUGAUCGAUUGAUGUUGAUUAUGAGGUUGCGGACAUAAUGACCAUGUGAUAAGAUUUGAAUGAUGUUAGCAUAAUAAGUUAUGAUUACGGAUAGCAGGAUCAAGUGGUGAGUGUGGAAGCAUGACGACACUUAUCAGGUCGUUUGGGUAAGUGAAGGAGUUAUAGUUUUAAGAAACGGAUAUUCAUUUAAGAAGUAUUGAAGGAUUAAAGGUCAUUAGAGGACCAAACUUGGUGAAGGUUUAGGUUUUAAAUCUAUGAAUGUCUGUCUAAGGUGUGUAGGACUCGAAGGUUGUCAGAAUUUGAUUGAGAGAUUAAGAAGUUGAUUGACGAGAUGGUGAUUGAGUCACAAAAAGGAAGGUGUUAGUAUUAAGAUGAAUACCUGAGGUUGUUAUAUUUUGACGAGUUUCGUAGAGUAUAAGAGUCAAUGGGACUUUGUUAUGGAUUUUGAUGAUGCAUAUUACGGGUAACAAGUGAAUUUUACUAAAGUUGAAUGAGAAUCCUAGGGCUAAGGUUGACCUAGUGAGCUGAGAUUCAUGUACACAUAAGAGAUUUAGUGGUGUUAGCGGCUACGAUAACAGUUAAAUCUCAGAAUGUUGAAGGAUCGGAAGAUGAAAUGACUAAUUAAGUCCCUUGAGGUAUAGUUAUGAUUUAAUCUUCUAGAGGAUAAGUCUCGAUUUGUGCGAAGUGUUAGGGAUUUCAGUAAGUGUAAAUAGGUUUGAGUGAGGGAAGUUCUAGGGAAGAAGACGAUAAUAAUGGAUUGUUAGAUAUUAAGAAGAGGAUUAUCUUAUAAGUUGUUGAUAACUUGAUGUUGAAGGGGAUAAGAUUAGUGAAGGACAAGAAAUAAGGACAUGAGUCGAGCUUUAAUUCGAAUGGUGACUAAGUAGGAGAUUGAUUUCAUUGUGCGAGUGAUGAUAGUUACGAAGUUGGAUGUGACGUUAAUGGAUUAUUAGAUUCCAACGCAAUAUUUCGUCUAGGAGUUAUCGAACGGACAAGUGGAGUUUUGGACUGUAGAUGAAGAUCACGAGGACGAGUUGAGUAUUUACCUUAAGAUGGCAGAGAGGCACCGAGUUUAAGAAGAAUUUCGGACAACCGAAAGUAAAGAAGCAAGUGGCUAAGGUUGUGCGACUGCACGGAGUGCCAACCAGGAACAUUUCAAGCAGAGAUCCGACGCAAGUGAUCGAACCAGACGACAUGAAGUUGAAUGAUGGUUUGUCUUUUGAGACGCCGACAGUUAACAGUGGGGAUAUAAGAGUGAAACAAUUAAGGGGAAAACAGAUUGCUUAAGUAAAGGUUAUGAGGAACAAUGACCCAGACAAUACUACAUGGGAAUUGGAAGACAAGAUUAAGGAACUGUAUUCCGGACUUUCUCAGAACUCUGAGUUUCGAGGACGAAACUUUCUUUUUGGAGGGGAGUAUUGUAAGACCUGGAUUUUCAGAACAAGUUAAGUUUCCGACUCACGCGUAGAAUCAGCGUAAGCGUGACAGGAGUUUGGUAUUUGAGAAAGAUUAAUGAAGAGGAAAGUUCAGGAAUUACUUGAGGUAUGUUGCGUAGUUGCUUCCGGAGUUAGUACGAGUCGUCUGCACACCUGCCUUAUGGCGAGCGUGUCCAGAAUAGGCUAUUUCGCUCUUAAAGCAACGUUUUGAGUGAGAUUUCGAACUCUCGGAAAAUUUAAAGAUUCUCUUUAUUUUUCCAUCGACCAGCGUUUCAUUCCGGAACUCUGGACUGUACGCACGAUGGGUUUCACUUUUCGGAUGUCCGCCGACGCUAAUUUCUUUGCUUCGAAACCCUAUUUUCGAGCAAUGGAUGAAGACUUUUUAUAUUCGGGACUUCUAACGAAGAUUCCGUCCGCGUUGCCAGACUUGUUUCGACAUUUCCAAUCUUUCUUCUGUUGGAAGUUUUGUCGUUUGAGCAUCACAGCAAAAAGUAGUUUUUCGGGACAGAUUUAACUUACACCGCUUUUGAGAUUUUCGAUAUCGUUUUUCCCAUAUCAUAGAUAUUUGUUUUGAGUUCUGGAUUUCUGACGCCAGAAUCUCUCUUAAAAUUCCUUGGUGAACGUGCUGCAAAAAUCGGAAUCGCGAAAUUUUCAUUUUCCCGCGAUUUCGCCCGCCUAUAAAUAGGCGAAAAAGCAAAAUAUCUUCCAUUUUUCCUCCAUUUGUGGCUGAUUUCGUGGAGAGCAAGGGGGGAGGGGAUUUCCGCGAAAACUUGAUCAAUCUUCGUGCAGUUCGUCCCUACUUCUAGGUAUCAAGGUAACUAACACGAUUCCUACCUCUGAUUGUUGUUUCUGUUGCGUUUUUGAAGUCGUUUCUGUGCUCACAGUUUUGAGCUUUUUCUAAAAUGGUCCGAUUUCUUCGAUUUCUUGGUUGGGUUAUGUUCCUUACGUUCCCCUGAGUCUAAAACCUCUGUCAGUAAACUCUGAUUGCGAUUCAGUUGUCCAGGAUCUGAAAAACUGUUUCAAAACCUUUUUGUCUCACAUUUCGAAACUUUAUUGUCGAAAAGUCAUAAUUUGACUUCGUGCCUUUAGGAUUUGUUGUCACGGAUGUCAUGAGGAUCGUUGCUGUCAAAUUUGUUUUCAGAACUGAUAACUUUGAAGUUUUGAGCCUUUAUUUUGGACCAAAAUGCCCCUAGAUAGUCGUAUUUCGGCCCGAUUGUCCGAAAAUUGUUCUGACAGUUUCUUUGCCUUAGUUUUAUCCUAAAACUACCUUGUGAAUUGAUUUGAUCGAAGAAAAAGAGCCGAAGCCCUUUUUCCUUUGAGGCCGUGGGUUAUUACCAUCAGGGGGGAGUUUUUCGGUUUCGAAAACUUGUCUUUUCGUACCUGAUUGUCCUAUUCUGAAGCUUUAAUGCUUUGUCUAUCGUUUAUGUAUUGUUUUGCGAUCGAACUAAUCGAUUUUGUUUGGGUUCUGCUUUGUUUUUCUCCGAGGUUCAGUUGAGGGAACUUUAGAAGACUCAGAGCAAUUGUUUGAGGAGAACUUUGUUUGCGAAGCUGGAACAGCUCGAGGUUAGGGCAACUUACUAUAUAUUAGCUAUGAAUGCAUGAUAGGCGUCGAUCAAUUCGACUUAUGCUUUACUUUGAUGUUGAUUAUGUUGAUGAACUGAUGUUGUGAUGUUGUGCUUUAUUGGAUUGUGCGUUUUGACGCGACUUCGGAGUGGAGAUUCAUUGAUCUGGUGAUCUUUGAUGUUUCGGGUUGGAUGAACAACCCUAGGCAAGUUCAAACGAGGGGUUUGGGACUUAGCCAUUUGUUGGGAUUCGUUGGUUUACUUAGACUUUCCCCGGGAAACUUCUUUUGGGUGGUUGGUUUUCGGAAAUCCUAGAAUGAAUAGAAUAUUGUAAACUAGAGACUUUGGGAAACUUAGACUUUGAGAAAUAAACUCAUAAUUUGACUAAUUUGAAUUGAAAUCAUUUUUAUUAACGUUUAAGCAUAGGAGAACUAAAGGGGAAAACAUUUACGAAAGACGGGGAAAAGUCGACCUUUGUUGCGGGUUUGGAGAGUUAUCGGAAUUGGGGAAAGCCACUAAGGUGAGCUAUGGUGAUGAUUGAAAGUCACCGAGUACUUUACGUACUCUUGUUGAUGGGGUUGUGUUGUAUUGACCGACACUAAUCCCUUGGGUUCUCUUGUUGUUGGAGCGGUGUUGUAUUGACCGACACUUAGCGCUCUUGUUGUUUGGGCGGUGUUGUAUUGACCGACACUAGACCCUUGUGUAUUCUGUGGAUGGAGUUGUGUUGUAUUGACCGACACUUACUCCGAGUUGUGUUGUAUUGACCGACACUAACUCAUGGGUUUGUUGAGAUUGGGUUGUGAGC